This is a long non-coding RNA of Sapajus apella (tufted capuchin), 135 nucleotides long. RefSeq lists it as uncharacterized. Lineage: Eukaryota; Metazoa; Chordata; Mammalia; Primates; Cebidae. The transcript is spliced from 3 exons. The record is from RefSeq and is a predicted model, not a curated record.
GAUUACAGGCUUGAGCCACCGCGCCCGGCCUAUAAGGCUCUUUUUAAUAAACUUCCACUCCUGCACUGAAGCUUGCCUUGGUCUCUUCUUCUGCCUGAUGCCCCUCAGUAAAAUUCUUUCUUUUGAGGAGGCAAG